UGCAAGUCGAACGCUUCUUUCCUCCCGAGUGCUUGCACUCAAUUGGAAAGAGGAGUGGCGGACGGGUGAGUAACACGUGGGUAACCUACCCAUCAGAGGGGGAUAACACUUGGAAACAGGUGCUAAUACCGCAUAACAGUUUAUGCCGCAUGGCAUAAGAGUGAAAGGCGCUUUCGGGUGUCGCUGAUGGAUGGACCCGCGGUGCAUUAGCUAGUUGGUGAGGUAACGGCUCACCAAGGCCACGAUGCAUAGCCGACCUGAGAGGGUGAUCGGCCACACU
This 280-nucleotide ribosomal RNA is filed under the name Enterococcus faecalis. RNAcentral describes it as "partial 16S rRNA". It matches the Rfam family "Bacterial small subunit ribosomal RNA", at positions 56 to 314 of the family's 1533-position model. Lineage: Bacteria; Bacillati; Bacillota; Bacilli; Lactobacillales; Enterococcaceae. The record is from RNAcentral.